Molecule: long non-coding RNA, 282 nt
Filed under: Neodiprion lecontei (redheaded pine sawfly)
Lineage: Eukaryota; Metazoa; Arthropoda; Insecta; Hymenoptera; Diprionidae
Description: uncharacterized LOC124293625
Source: RNAcentral
AGCAAUCUUUCGAAAAGCAAAGGUCCCGGGGUCGUAUCUUGGUGCAUUCUAAGCUGUGAAAUAAUUUUUUCUGGAUCCGCCGAAACGCAUGUCGCAAACCACACGUACAUAUGUAUACACAUCAUAAUCUGAAAAUGAUUGGAGGUGAUUCUCUCUAGACUUCGAAAACGUGGAGAUCUACCGACAACACAACUUUAAUUUUCGGGAUUCACCAUAUAACGCACGUUCUUCUCAACGUAUUGAAUUAAAAAAAAGACGUGGUUAACAGGACACGUAAACAAU